Molecule: ribosomal RNA, 509 nt
Filed under: Escovopsis sp.
Lineage: Eukaryota; Fungi; Ascomycota; Sordariomycetes; Hypocreales; Hypocreaceae
Description: partial large subunit ribosomal RNA
Source: RNAcentral
ACGGCGAGUGAAGCGGCAACAGCUCAAAUUUGAAAUCUGGCCCUCGCGGGCCCGAGUUGUAAUUUGCAGAGGAUGCUUUUGGCGAGGCGCCGCCCGAGUUCCCUGGAACGGGACGCCGCAGAGGGUGAGAGCCCCGUCUGGCUGGCCGCCGAGCCUCUGURAAGCUCCUUCGACGAGUCGAGUAGUUUGGGAAUGCUGCUCAAAACGGGAGGUAUAUGUCUUCUAAAGCUAAAUACCGGCCAGAGACCGAUAGCGCACAAGUAGAGUGAUCGAAAGAUGAAAAGCACUUUGAAAAGAGGGUUAAACAGUACGUGAAAUUGUUGAAAGGGAAGCGCUCGCGACCAGACUUGGGCCUGGCGGAUCAUCCGGCGUUCUCGCCGGUGCACUCCGCCCGGCCCAGGCCAGCAUCGGUUCGCCCCGGGGGACAAAGGCGGCGGGAAUGUGGCUCCCCCGGGAGUGUUAUAGCCCGCCGCGCAAUGCCCUGGCGCGGACGAGCGCCUGCAAGGAUG